Molecule: ribosomal RNA, 497 nt
Filed under: uncultured bacterium
Lineage: Bacteria
Description: partial 16S ribosomal RNA
Rfam family: Bacterial small subunit ribosomal RNA
Source: RNAcentral
GAUGAACGCUGGCGGCGUGCCUAAUACAUGCAAGUCGAGCGAACAGACGAGGAGCUUGCUCCUCUGACGUUAGCGGCGGACGGGUGAGUAACACGUGGAUAACCUACCUGUAAGACUGGGAUAACUUCGGGAAACCGGAGCUAAUACCGGAUAAUAUAUUGAACCGCAUGGUUCAAUAGUGAAAGACGGUUUUGCUGUCACUUAUAGAUGGAUCCGCGCCGCAUUAGCUAGUUGGUAAGGUAACGGCUUACCAAGGCAACGAUGCGUAGCCGACCUGAGAGGGUGAUCGGCCAAACUGGAACUGAGACACGGUCCAGACUCCUAAGGGAGGCAGCAGUAGGGAAUCUUCCGCAAUGGGCGAAAGCCUGACGGAGCAACGCCGCGUGAGUGAUGAAGGUCUUCGGAUCGUAAAACUCUGUUAUUAGGGAAGAACAAAUGUGUAAGUAACUAUGCACGUCUUGACGGUACCUAAUCAGAAAGCCACGGCUAACUACGUG